Molecule: non-coding RNA, 73 nt
Organism: Stegodyphus dumicola
Lineage: Eukaryota; Metazoa; Arthropoda; Arachnida; Araneae; Eresidae
Source: the annotation of a RefSeq genome assembly
GCCUUCGUAGUGCAGUAGUCAGCACACUCGACUCGAAUUCGAGAGGUCCUUGGUUCGAGUCCCGGUGAAGACA